Molecule: non-coding RNA, 45 nt
Filed under: Schistosoma mansoni
Lineage: Eukaryota; Metazoa; Platyhelminthes; Trematoda; Strigeidida; Schistosomatidae
Source: RNAcentral
AUCAUGCUGACGAGUUUCAAAUAGGACGAAACGCUCAUCCUUUAU